This 253-nucleotide ribosomal RNA is filed under the name uncultured bacterium. RNAcentral describes it as "partial 16S ribosomal RNA". It matches the Rfam family "Bacterial small subunit ribosomal RNA", at positions 524 to 776 of the family's 1533-position model. The record is from RNAcentral.
UACGUAGGGGGCAAGCGUUAUCCGGAUUUACUGGGUGUAAAGGGGGCGCAGACGGCGAUGCAAGCCAGGAGCGAAAGCCCGGGGCCCAACCCCGGGACUGCUCUUGGAACUGCGUGGCUGGAGUGCAGGAGGGGCAGGCGGAAUUCCUGGUGUAGCGGUGAAAUGCGUAGAUAUCAGGAGGAACCCCGGUGGCGAAGGCGGCCUGCUGGACUGCAACUGACGUUGAGGCCCGAAAGCGUGGGGAGCAAACAGG